AGAGUUUGAUCAUGGCUCAGAGCGAACGCUGGCGGCGUGCUUAACACAUGCAAGUCGAGGGAGAACGGAGGGCUUCGGCCUUCCUAGUAAACCGGCGCACGGGUGAGUAACACGUAGGUAACCUACCCCCGAGAUCGGGAUAACCUGUCGAAAGAUAGGCUAAUACCGGAUAAGACCACGAUGGUUUCGGCCAUUGCGGUCAAAGGAUGGCCUCUAUUUAUAAGCUAUCGCUUGGGGAUGGGCCUGCGCACCAUUAGCUAGUUGGUGAGGUAACGGCUCACCAAGGCUACGAUGGUUAGUUGGUCUGAGAGGAUGACCAGCCACACUGGGACUGAGACACGGCCCAGACUCCUACGGGAGGCAGCAGUGGGGAAUAUUGCGCAAUGGGGGAAACCCUGACGCAGCGACGCCGCGUGGGUGAUGAAGGCCUUCGGGUCGUAAAGCCCUGUCGGAGGGGAAGAAGGACUGUCGUGCAAAUAGUGCGAUGGUUGACGGUACCCUAGAGAGAC
This 509-nucleotide ribosomal RNA is filed under the name uncultured Desulfofustis sp. RNAcentral's name for it is "bacterial SSU rRNA". It matches the Rfam family "Bacterial small subunit ribosomal RNA", at positions 8 to 489 of the family's 1533-position model. The record is from RNAcentral. Lineage: Bacteria; Pseudomonadati; Thermodesulfobacteriota; Desulfobulbia; Desulfobulbales; Desulfocapsaceae.